This 337-nucleotide unclassified non-coding RNA is filed under the name soil metagenome. RNAcentral describes it as "partial contains 5.8S ribosomal RNA, internal transcribed spacer 2, and large subunit ribosomal RNA". The stretch from base 1 to 120 matches the Rfam family "5.8S ribosomal RNA", at positions 35 to 154 of the family's 154-position model. The record is from RNAcentral.
GAUGAAGAACGUAGCGAAAUGCGAUAAGUAGUGUGAAUUGCAGAAUUCAGUGAAUCAUCGAAUCUUUGAACGCACAUUGCGCCCCAUGGUAUUCCGUGGGGCAUGUCUGUUCGAGCGUCAUUUACCCCCUCAAGCUCCGCUUGGUGUUGGGCGUCUGUCCCGCUUCGCGCGCGGACUCGCCCCAAAGGUAUUGGCAGCGGUCGUGCCAGCUUCUCGCGCAGCACAUUGCGCUUCUCGAGGCACCGGUGGGCCCGCGUCCAUCAAGCUCACCCCCCCAGUUUGACCUCGGAUCAGGUAGGGAUACCCGCUGAACUUAAGCAUAUCAAUAAGCGGAGGA